UGCGUAGGCGGGUUAAUAAGUCAGUGGUGAAAACCUUCAGCUUAACUGGAGACUUGCCAUUGAUACUGUUAGUCUUGAGUACGGUCAAGGUAGGCGGAAUGUGUAAUGUAGCGGUGAAAUGCUUAGAUAUUACACAGAACACCGAUUGCGAAGGCAGCUUACUGGACCAUUACUGACGCUGAGGCACGAAAGCGUGGGGAGCGAACAGGAUUAGAUACCCUGGUAGUC
RNAcentral lists this ribosomal RNA (228 nucleotides) under uncultured bacterium. Its description in RNAcentral is "partial 16S ribosomal RNA". It matches the Rfam family "Bacterial small subunit ribosomal RNA", at positions 568 to 795 of the family's 1533-position model. The record is from RNAcentral.